AUGGAGGGGGUGGGCUUGUGGCCCCCACAGUACGGGUCCCCAGAGGCUCAGCGGAAGCCAGGGCUGCAGGCCCUGAAGUCCAUUUGUGGUGCUGUGGAUGCACUCGGCGGUGCUGGGGGGCUUGGAGAUGACCACCCUGCUGAGCCGUGUGCCUGGGCCGAGGGCCUGGUGGAUGGGAGAUUAGUCUUCCUGCCCUAUGACAUGCUGCUCUUCUCCCUGUCCUACUGCAACCGCUCCUACCUGUCUCUCGGCACUGGUGGACCCCUGCAGGAGGCCUAUGAUGCAGUGCUCACCAUCAGCCAGGAGUCUGGCCCCAUAGACAAGGCCUUUGCUGCUGCCCGGCCUGAUGGAGAGGCGGCUGCCCACCUUGAGCCAGAGCAGGUAGGUGUGCUCCUUGUGCAGACCCCGAAUGCCUUGAGUGGGGGUCCGGGGCAGGGGUGCACGCGGUCAGGACUCAGUGAACUUGGGUCUCCUGGGGAUGCCCGUUUCUUGGUGUUAAGAAGACAGCAGUGCCUGGAGGUGGUGACGGAUGUGGAUGCUGAUGGACUCUUGGCAACUUGGGAACGUUGCGACUGGGGACCAGCAGAUGCAUCAGGCCCAGGGGUUCCAGACCCGAGCCCGAGGCAGAGGGCCUGUGUGAAGACAGUGUUCAGUGCCCUCCUGACCCAGCUGGGACUGACAGUGAGACAGAAAUGGAAACGGGGAGAGGAAAGUUUGGGCAUCCACCAGCUGCAGCUGGUGUGGGGCCCCCACCGGAUCCUGCUGACAGCCCAGGAGCUCACCUUCAUCCAUCCACCCCUGAACAGACAGAGGCUGCAUGUGGAUGGUGAAUGGAGAAGUGUGGCGGAUGGUGGGAGCCUGAGAUGCUUUGUGCUCAAGGUCACUGACCAUGAGCUGCUAUGGACAGCUCCUGAGCUGCUGCCGGGGCCUGGGCGCCCUGGGCGGCGCACCCUCACAGGGGACAUCUUCAGCACUGGCAUCAUCCUGCAGGAGGUGCUGACUCGGGCCCACUCUACUGCUCCUCGGGACUUCCAGUGGAAGAAUCAUAAUGAUGAUGAUAAUGAUAAGCAGGCAGUGUCGUUCACACCUGUGGGGAACCGGCACGCCAGUGUCUGCGUGGCAAGGCUGGAGGAAAGAGCUGCGCUGUCAAGGUUUCAAGAUCAUUGGUGGGCAUUGUUGGCAACAGAGCAGCGGCAGUUGUUGCGGGGCCUGAGGGUGGGGGAGAGUCUGCCAGGACCCCAGGCCCGCCCCAUGGUGUUGGUUGCCGAAAUCAUCAGGAGGGUGGCAUCUCCCCCUCCUCUGUGCCGGCCGCUGGUGACCCCUGAUCACGGGCCGCCUGAGUGCGUUGGCUGAUGAAGAAGUGCUGGGACGAGGCUCCAGAGGACAGACCUAGCAUGGACCAGAUCUACAGCCAGUUCAAAAGCAUCAACCAAGGCAAGAGGACCAGUGUUGCUGACUCCAUGCUGUGGUUGCUGGAGAAAUAUUCCCAGAACCUGGAGGACCUGAUUCAGGAGCAGACUGAGGAACUGGAGCUGAAGAGAGAGAAGACAGAAAGGCUGCUCUGUCAGAUGAUUCCCCCGUCUGUGGCUGAAGCUCGGAAAAUGGGGGCAACUGUGGAACCAGGGUAUUUUGACCAGGUUACCAUAUACUUCAGUGACAUUGUGGGUUUCACCAUCAUCUCAGCCCUGAGUGAACCCAUUGAGGCGGUGGGCUUGCUCAACGAUCUCUACAUGCUGUUUGAUGCUGUUCUGGGCAGCCAUGACCUGUAUAAGGUGGAGACCAUUGGGGACGCCUACAUGGUGGUGUGGGGGCUGCCUCAGUGCAAUGGCAGUCAGCAUGCGGCCGAGAUCAAUAACAUGGCUCUGGAUAUCCUUGGCUCUGUGGGUGACUUCCGGAAGAGGCAUGCACCCAACGUGCCCAUUUGCAUCAGGGCUGGCCUGCAUUCAGACCUGCUGGAGCUCACUGGGUACAUUCGAGUUUCAGGGCCCUGUGCAGCAGGGGUCGUGGGUCUCACGAUGCCUUGGUAUUGCCUCUCUGGGGACACUGUCAACACGGCUUCCCAGAUGGAGUCCACAGGGCUGCAUGAGUAUCUCACACUUCUAUCCUGCCCGGGGAGAGACUCUUUCAAUAACCUUCCUGACACCACCAUGAAGACAUCCCCAGCGUUUUUGGCCCUUACUGGCAGCAGGAGCUACCAUGAUGGCUUGGCUAGAGCAGCUAAGAUGUUGAAGCCCCAGGUCCUCUGCCUCUGGCUGUCAUACAGAAUUCAUGUCAGCCAAAGCACUGUCCAGAUACUGCUCAGCCUUGAUGAAAGCUACCAAAUUGAUAUCAGAGGGGAAGGGCAUCGAAGAGACCUACUGGGUGGGGGGAAGGCAGGCUUCCCCAGGCCCCUCCCCGCACCUGUGGACAUCAGACCUGGCUCUGGCUGCUCACUCAAUGGUUCCUUCUGGGGCUUCACAGCACCACGGAUUGCAAAGCUCCAGCAACCCUUGAAACCUGGUCCUCCAGCAUCCCCAGUCAGACAGCCCAACACCAUGCCAAGCUCCUGGCGUCUCCGCACCUACCCCUAUCCAUUAGCAAGUCUGGAGCCUCCAGAGCCUCUGGGGAGGCAGAACAGGGGUGAGGACAGCACCUUCCAGCUCUCCACCACCUCCACAAUCAGUCAUCAAGUCCUGUGCGGCCUGCCACGAUGGUCUCCGACUUCGGUCCACAACAAGGGCACCAGGCUUCAUGCUGCUCUCUUGCCUCUAUUCCCACCCCUAAUCUACCUGCAACGCAGACCUUGCGACGUCACUUUUCGACUUAGCAAGUGUGCACUACUGAUGACCAAGGGCCUUUGCUGA
RNA transcript from Homo sapiens (human), 2843 nucleotides. It is a transcript of the gene named guanylate cyclase 2E, pseudogene, with no coding region annotated. The transcript is spliced from 20 exons. The record is from RefSeq and is marked validated. Lineage: Eukaryota; Metazoa; Chordata; Mammalia; Primates; Hominidae.